This 405-nucleotide ribosomal RNA is filed under the name uncultured bacterium. RNAcentral describes it as "bacterial SSU rRNA". It matches the Rfam family "Bacterial small subunit ribosomal RNA", at positions 987 to 1387 of the family's 1533-position model. The record is from RNAcentral.
GCCUCUGCAUAUCUUAUCGAGGAGCCCUUCGGGGCAGGAAGACAGGUGGUGCAUGGUUGUCGUCAGCUCGUGUCGUGAGAUGUUGGGUUAAGUCCCGCAACGAGCGCAACCCUUAUUGUUAGUUGCUACCAUUAAGUUGAGCACUCUAGCGAGACUGCCCGGGUUAACCGGGAGGAAGGUGGGGAUGACGUCAAAUCAUCAUGCCCCUUAUGUCUAGGGCUACACACGUGCUACAAUGGCUGGUACAGAGAGAUGCUAAACCGUGAGGUGGAGCCAAACUUUAAAACCAGUCUCAGUUCGGAUUGUAGGCUGAAACUCGCCUACAUGAAGCUGGAGUUGCUAGUAAUCGCGAAUCAGAAUGUCGCGGUGAAUACGUUCCCGGGCCUUGUACACACGAAAAAAUUU